UACGGAGGGUGCAAGCGUUAAUCGGAAUUACUGGGCGUAAAGCGUGCGUAGGUGGUUUGUUAAGUCAGAUGUGAAAGCCCCGGGCUCAACCUGGGAACUGCAUUUGAAACUGUCAAACUAGAGUAUAGGAGAGGAAAGUGGAAUUUCAGGUGUAGCGGUGAAAUGCGUAGAUAUCUGAAGGAACAUCAAUGGCGAAGGCAGCUUUCUGGACUAAUACUGACACUGAGGUACGAAAGCGUGGGUAGCAAACAGGAUUAGAUACCCUGGUAGUCCACGCCGUAAACGAUGACAACUAGCCGUUGGGAGGGUUUACCUCUUAGUGGCGAAGCUAACGCGUUAAGUUGUCCGCC
RNAcentral lists this ribosomal RNA (350 nucleotides) under Candidatus Thioglobus sp. RNAcentral describes it as "bacterial SSU rRNA". It matches the Rfam family "Bacterial small subunit ribosomal RNA", at positions 524 to 873 of the family's 1533-position model. Lineage: Bacteria; Pseudomonadati; Pseudomonadota; Gammaproteobacteria; Pseudothioglobaceae (SeqCode). The record is from RNAcentral.